RNAcentral lists this ribosomal RNA (757 nucleotides) under uncultured bacterium. Its description in RNAcentral is "bacterial SSU rRNA". It matches the Rfam family "Bacterial small subunit ribosomal RNA", at positions 46 to 800 of the family's 1533-position model. The record is from RNAcentral.
GCCUUACACAUGCAAGUCGAACGGUAACAGGUCUUCGGACGCUGACGAGUGGCGAACGGGUGAGUAACACAUCGGAACGUGCCCGAUCGUGGGGGAUAACGGAGCGAAAGCUUUGCUAAUACCGCAUACGAUCUACGGAUGAAAGCAGGGGACCGCAAGGCCUUGCGCGGACGGAGCGGCCGAUGGCAGAUUAGGUAGUUGGUGGGAUAAAAGCUUACCAAGCCGACGAUCUGUAGCUGGUCUGAGAGGAUGAUCAGCCACACUGGGACUGAGACACGGCCCAGACUCCUACGGGAGGCAGCAGUGGGGAAUUUUGGACAAUGGGCGCAAGCCUGAUCCAGCCAUGCCGCGUGCAGGAUGAAGGCCUUCGGGUUGUAAACUGCUUUUGUACGGAACGAAAAGCUUUCCUCUAAUAAAGGGGAGUCAUGACGGUACCGUAAGAAUAAGCACCGGCUAACUACGUGCCAGCAGCCGCGGUAAUACGUAGGGUGCAAGCGUUAAUCGGAAUUACUGGGCGUAAAGCGUGCGCAGGCGGUUUUGUAAGACAGAGGUGAAAUCCCCGGGCUCAACCUGGGAACUGCCUUUGUGACUGCAAGGCUGGAGUGCGGCAGAGGGGGAUGGAAUUCCGCGUGUAGCAGUGAAAUGCGUAGAUAUGCGGAGGAACACCGAUGGCGAAGGCAAUCCCCUGGGCCUGCACUGACGCUCAUGCACGAAAGCGUGGGGAGCAAAAAGGAUUUGAUACCCUGGUAGUCCACGC